Molecule: non-coding RNA, 71 nt
Organism: Picea glauca (white spruce)
Lineage: Eukaryota; Viridiplantae; Streptophyta; Pinopsida; Pinales; Pinaceae
Source: Rfam
GCGGGUAUGGUUGAAUGGUAAAAUUUAUUUUUGCCAAGGAGAAGAUGCAGGUUCGAUCCCCGCCACCCACC